RNAcentral lists this long non-coding RNA (753 nucleotides) under Equus caballus (horse). RNAcentral describes it as "lncRNA (ENSECAG00000057505.1)". The record is from RNAcentral. Lineage: Eukaryota; Metazoa; Chordata; Mammalia; Perissodactyla; Equidae.
UCUCUGGACAUCCUAAGGGGAGCCGUGUCUUCUGCAGCUAUUUGGGGUCUGAAGCCAUUGCUCUGCGUAGGUGCUGCUCAGAGGAUUCCGGUUGCUUCCUUGGGCUGGGUGCUCAUGUAUCCUAGGGGUGUGAUGUUUCCUGUUCCUCUGUCAUUGUGUGACUCCUACGGUGGAAAAAUUAACUAUAGGCAUGGAGGCACACUGGAGAUGUGAAGGCGAGGCUCCUGGCUUUGUGUUGAUGUUGGAUCCUGUUGCUUCCGCUGUCUCUCGCAGGCGUUCGCCUCAGAUGCCCCAGCACCAAGGAGCCCUUGGGUGGGAAUGGUGCAAGGUACAGCCCAGAGGCACACACUCGGCCUCAGGGACAUGCUCCACAGGAAGAAUUCCAGCCCAGAGCUCACUCCAUCUGCCACACAAUGGGCCGUCCACCACCUGACCCCUGGUAGUGAGGACCAACACCAGGCAAAGCAGUUGCCAUCACGUGUGGCCAGUUUAUCAAGCCCUCUGAGGUCACCCUCGCUCUUGCUCGUUGGUUUUCCUCCUUGGAUUCAACUUUCUGUUAUUGCUUUUGUUCAGAAAGCCCUUACUAAAGACGUGGCCAUGUUCGGUGUUUGAGCAGAAUAUCUCUGCUUUGAAAUUGCAGUUCGAUUCCACGCUUUUCUUACGACAUUCAUUUACACAGAAAGGAAACGUACAGAUGCAUAUGUAUAUGUAGCAGGAAGAAAAUUUGCUAUUUUGAGGCUUGACAGAAAAGAG